UUUCUGACUUUCCCUCUUCCUGCUGUCUGGAAGGGGGUUGUGAUGGCUGGAGUUCCAGCAGUUAUACUGGACCAUGAAGUGACCCUGGAGAUGAAAGCCUAAAUUCCUAAGCGGCCCUAUCAGCCCUGAACUGCCUACCUCUAAACUUUGUUUUCAGCUUUAGUAAGCCAGGUUGACCGCAUCUAAACACACUCCAUUAUCAUCGCGGCAAAUGGGUGGCUGGAACCGCCUAGCUGGGGAAGUCAACGGGAGCAAAACGACAUUGCUCUGGAACGACCUGGGGGCUUAGCGAACAGUCUGGACAUAAAUCUUCCCAGUUUAAAAAAAAAAAGAGCACUUUCA
Molecule: long non-coding RNA, 342 nt
Organism: Bubalus bubalis (water buffalo)
Lineage: Eukaryota; Metazoa; Chordata; Mammalia; Artiodactyla; Bovidae
Exons: 3
Source: RefSeq, a predicted model, not a curated record